GGGCGGGGCGACCCGGGAAUCUCUGUACCCGCCGCGCGAGCGGGGAGCCCAGGCCGGGGAAAAGGCAGGAAGCGCCGACUUCAGACGCCUCCCGCAGACGAGCAACGCAGUGUGGCCACGGGCCCCCGCUCCCAGGUCGGCGCCGACCACGGAGGGCGAGCAGACGGGGCGCAGCGGCUGCUUCUAGGCUCCAGGAAGGGGAGCGGAGCCGCCCGGACGGCCCGUCACCUGCUCCGACCGCCGCUGCAGAGGGCUCUCCCCACCAAGGGACUGGGGCCGCGGCCCGGAACGGGACCUGCGAGUUUCGGCCGCCGCCUGCCAAGAUUUGGAGCCACGAACAUGCUCCCCAGAAUCAAGCGAAGAAUUUGUUAAACCGGGUUUCCCACCUGCGCCCCCAUCCCAGCGAAGAACGCUCGAUUCUAGGGACGCCAGCCGCCCGAGCACAGCCACCCCACGUUCCCAGGCGGGCACAUUGUUAAGAUCAGCGGGCCUUCGUACAAACAUCUUGACUGUGGCUGGUAAUGAAGAUGAGUCUCCUGUCUGUGGGGCGCCUGGUUAGCCACCACUAUGCCCAGUCCACCCCGUCCACCCUGCUACAAGCGGAGGCCAAGAACCGGGAGUAUGCAAGACAUUGCUCUCCAAUCUGAGUGAAAUUCCAGCUGUGGCCCUGGAAGCCAUGUGGAGAUGUGGGUGCAUUCCUUCAGCUACAGGCACAGAAGCCAGUUCACUUGGCCACUGAAGGUCCUGUUUCCGUGUGAUGUGGAGCCUGAUGAAUAUGUGGCCUCCCCUCUAGGAAUACGCCUGGGCUGCCUUUGCACACACUUACUUCAGCUGGCCUUGAACUCAAAGAUAAUCGCUUCUGUAACAAGCGAAUCACAGCCUCUCCUCCCUGUGCAAACAAGAGAACUAGGUAUGUACUACUCAGAGGCUAGUAAAAUCCCUCUGUCAGUUUUCCCUUUCCUUUCUUCUACGUACUCAUUAUAGAGCAUAUGUUUAAAGAGUCCCCUUCUUCACUGUAAUCAGCCUCCCCCUCCUUCCUGAUUCAUUUGUGGAAGGGAUUGUGGGGCCACAAGCAUCAGAGUCUUCCCUGAAUGAUUCAGGCCAGCUGAGCUCACUGUUUAGCUCGGCAAUUACCCAAGAUAUUAGUGACUAAAUGGCCCAGACACUCUUAUGGAGGAAGCACAGCCAUGAGCCACAGCAUUGAAGGAGUUUCAAUUGCUGCAGGCAGGCCUUGGAGAGCAAUGACCAGAGUUGACUUCAGGUGGCUGCAGGGCCUUCCUCAGUGGCACUGGCAGACGGGGACCCAAAGGGAAAAUAGUAAAGGGUGCCUGGCACAGUAGGAUGGCAAAGGUCAGAUGUCAUCUGUGUGUGAGAGAGAAAGAGAGAGAGGUUUUAUAAAGGGCUCUGGAGAACUGUGUUUAGGCAGAGUGAGGAGAUUUUAAUGUGUUAAGGGAUUUAGGAAAAGAAAUUUAAUCCAAAGUAAGGUAUUGUCCAAGGAUCCGCCCCCGCUGAGGCCUCAGCUAUUAGUGUAUUCCUUAUCUCUAGCCAAAGAAAAAUAGGAAACCUUAUGCUGAAUCCAUUUUCAUGGUUUUCAUCACCAGCAUAAUGGGUGGGGCAAGAAGCCAUAGAGGCAUUUUCUUUGUCCUCAGCUACCUGGGUAAUUUUCACGGACAGUGUUGUCCAAAGACGGUCUGACCGUCUGCUUAACAUCUUCCAUCCCCCAGCUCUCAGGUCUGCCUUGGGAAUGCAUGUUGAUAUUGUGUAUUAAGCUUGACUCCUUCCUUCCUGAGAGAGAUCACAGGAUGGGUGUAAAGCCCAGUAAAAGUUUGAAGGUUGAUGGUUCCACUGGUGAUCUAAGCAGCUACAAAGACUGGUCAGAGUCUCUAAGACUUGGAGAUGAAAGAAAUUCUCCCCAAGCUCAGAGGAAAA
Non-coding RNA from Equus caballus (horse), 1929 nucleotides. The record is from RefSeq and is a predicted model, not a curated record. Lineage: Eukaryota; Metazoa; Chordata; Mammalia; Perissodactyla; Equidae.